Molecule: ribosomal RNA, 1505 nt
Filed under: uncultured organism
Description: bacterial SSU rRNA
Rfam family: Bacterial small subunit ribosomal RNA
Source: RNAcentral
AGAGUUUGAUUAUGGCUCAGGACGAACGCUGGCGGCGUGCCUAAGCUUAUGCAAGUCGAACGCGAAAGGCUCCUUCGGGAGCCGAGUAGAGUGGCAAACGGGUGAGUAACGCGUGGGUAACGUGCCCCAAUCCUGGGAAUAACCCUCGGAAACGAGGGCUAAUACCGAAUGUGGCCCCCGAUCGGAUGAUCGGUGGCUAAAGGUGGCCUCUUCUAUGCUGCCGGGUUGGGAUCGGCCCGCGUCCCAUUAGCUAGUUGGUGAGGUAACGGCCCACCAAGGCAACGAUGGGUAGCCGGCCUGAGAGGGUGUCCGGCCACACUGGCACUGAGACAAGGGCCAGUCCCCUAUGGGAGGCGCAGGCGGGAAUAGUUCCCAAUGGACGAAAGUCUGAGGACGCGACGCCGCGUGAGCGAAGAAGGCCUUCGGGUUGUAAAGCUCUGUCAGGAGGGAAGAAGGCGCUGGGUGUUAAUAGCACCAAGCGUUGACGGUACUUCCAGAGGAAGCCCCGGCUAAAUACGUGCCAGCAGCCGCGGUAAUACGUAUGGGGCAAGCGUUGUCCGGAUUAACUGGGCGUAAAGGGCACGCAGGCGGUUCGUUUAGUCGAAGGUGAAAUCCCUGGGCUCAACUCAGGAACUGCCUUCGAUACUGGCGAACUAGAGUGGCGUAGAGGAAAGCGGAACUCCUGGUGUAACGGUGGAAUGUGUAGAUAUCAGGAGGAACACCGGUGGCGAAGGCGGCUUUCUGGACGCACACUGACGCUCAGGUGCGAAAGCGUGGGUAGCAAACAGGAUUAGAUACCCUGGUAGUCCACGCCGUAAACGAUGGGUACUAGGUGUCGGGGGUAUCGAUCCCCUCGGUGCCGAAGUCAACGCAUUAAGUACCCCGCCUGGGGAGUACGGUCGCAAGGCUGAAACUCAAAAGAAUUGACGGGGACCCGCACAAGCAGCGGAGCAUGUGGUUUAAUUCGAAGCAACGCGAAGAACCUUACCAGGUUUUGACAUACCAAUGCUAUCUGAGUAAUAUCGGAGUUCCCUUUGGGACAUUGGAUACAGGUGGUGCAUGGUUGUCGUCAGCUCGUGUCGUGAGAUGUUGGGUUAAGUCCCGUAACGAGCGCAACCCUUGUCUUUAGUUGCUAACAGGUGAAGCUGAGGACUCUAAAGAGACUGCCGAUGAAGAAAUCGGAGGAAGGUGGGGAUGACGUCAAAUCAUCAUGCCCCUUAUAAUCUGGGCUACACACGUGCUACAAUGGUCGGUACAACGGGUAUGCGAAGCCGCGAGGUGGAGCUAAUCCUCAUCAAGCCGGUCUUAGUUCGGAUUGCAGAUUGAAAUUCAUCUGUAUGAAGUAGGAGUUGCUAGUAAUCGUGGAUCAGAAUGCCACGGUGAAUACGUUCCCGGGUCUUGUACACACCGCCCGUCACACCAUGGGAGUUGGAAGCACCCGAAGUCAGCUUUAAAGCUGCCGAAGGUGAAACCGAUAACUGGGGUGAAGUCGUAACAAGGUAGCC